This 73-nucleotide transfer RNA is filed under the name Ursus americanus (American black bear). It matches the Rfam family "tRNA". Rfam says of the family: Transfer RNA (tRNA) molecules are approximately 80 nucleotides in length. Their secondary structure includes four short double-helical elements and three loops (D, anti-codon, and T loops). The record is from Rfam by way of RNAcentral. Lineage: Eukaryota; Metazoa; Chordata; Mammalia; Carnivora; Ursidae. RNAcentral also lists the same sequence under 2 other names.
ACCUGGCUGGCUCAGUCAGUAGAGCGUGCGACUCUUGAUCCUGGGGUCAUGAGUUCGAGCCCCAUCUUGGGUG